GGGUGCGCAUGCUACCGUGCGCGUCGAGCGGAACGAGUUAUCUGAACCUUCGGGGAACGAUAACGGCGUCGAGCGGCGGACGGGUGAGUAAUGCCUAGGAAAUUGCCCUGAUGUGGGGGAUAACCAUUGGAAACGAUGGCUAAUACCGCAUAAUACCUACGGGUCAAAGAGGGGGACCUUCGGGCCUCUCGCGUCAGGAUAUGCCUAGGUGGGAUUAGCUAGUUGGUGAGGUAAUGGCUCACCAAGGCGACGAUCCCUAGCUGGUCUGAGAGGAUGAUCAGCCACACUGGAACUGAGACACGGUCCAGACUCCUACGGGAGGCAGCAGUGGGGAAUAUUGCACAAUGGGCGCAAGCCUGAUGCAGCCAUGCCGCGUGUGUGAAGAAGGCCUUCGGGUUGUAAAGCACUUUCAGUCGUGAGGAAGGUAGUGUAGUUAAUAGCUGCAUUAUUUGACGUUAGCGACAGAAGAAGCACCGGCUAACUCCGUGCCAGCAGCCGCGGUAAUACGGAGGGUGCGAGCGUUAAUCGGAAUUACUGGGCGUAAAGCGCAUGCAGGUGGUUUGUUAAGUCAGAUGUGAAAGCCCGGGGCUCAACCUCGGAAUAGCAUUUGAAACUGGCAGACUAGAGUACUGUAGAGGGGGGUAGAAUUUCAGGUGUAGCGGUGAAAUGCGUAGAGAUCUGAAGGAAUACCGGUGGCGAAGGCGGCCCCCUGGACAGAUACUGACACUCAGAUGCGAAAGCGUGGGGAGCAAACAGGAUUAGAUACCCUGGUAGUCCACGCCGUAAACGAUGUCUACUUGGAGGUUGUGGCCUUGAGCCGUGGCUUUCGGAGCUAACGCGUUAAGUAGACCGCCUGGGGAGUACGGUCGCAAGAUUAAAACUCAAAUGAAUUGACGGGGCCCGCACAAGCGGUGGAGCAUGGUGGUUUAAUUCGAUGCACGCGAAGAACCUUACCUACUCCUUGGACAUCCAGAGGAACUUUCCCAGAG
Molecule: ribosomal RNA, 989 nt
Filed under: Vibrio sp. R214E2
Lineage: Bacteria; Pseudomonadati; Pseudomonadota; Gammaproteobacteria; Vibrionales; Vibrionaceae
Description: bacterial SSU rRNA
Rfam family: Bacterial small subunit ribosomal RNA
Source: RNAcentral